Molecule: ribosomal RNA, 65 nt
Filed under: Troglocharinus elongatus mateui
Lineage: Eukaryota; Metazoa; Arthropoda; Insecta; Coleoptera; Leiodidae
Description: 16S ribosomal RNA
Source: RNAcentral
CUUUAAUUAAAUUAAAUGUUUUAGUACGAAAGGACCAAGUAUUUGUUAUAAUAAUUUUAUUAGAA